CGCCGGUCCCGGGGCGUGACAAGAUGCUAUUUUUUAGAUGCUGAUGGUGAUGUUUUUUAGAUGCUGAUGGUGAUGUAUUUAGAUGAUGAUGGUUUAGAUGAUGAUAGUGAUGUAUUUAGAUGAUGAUGAUGAUGAUGCUUAUAUAUGAAUGUUUAUGUUUGAUCGUUAAUGAAAACUCUUGGAUCUUAACUGUGUUUUGAGAAUGUUUAUUGCAGGAACUUUCAAGACUUCAAAACUCCAUGUCUAAGUCAUAGAGUUUGUAUUAAGAUUGUAAAUAUAUAUAUAUAUAUAUAAUUUUUUCUUUUAUUGGAUUGAUCAUGCAGGAGAUUGUCGUUUGGUGAUUGCGAUAAUCUUCUUUUUAUUAUUUCUGAGUUGUAUUUGAGUGUUGUAUUAGGUUUUGUCACGAAAUCGCCAAAGGGGGAGAUUGUUAAGGAUUUUCUAGGUUGGCAGAUUUCGUAAAGUCGAAUGGAGUCUUGAAGAGUUGAUCGCGAAGGUUUGAAGAGAAGAUUCAAUUUUUUUAAAGAGCAAAGACUCAUUUGGAAAGUACGGCACCUCAGGUAUGAAGAAUAGAUCAUUUUUGGUGAUUUUAUCUAAUUACAAUAAGUUUAGAAGACUUGGAUUGCAAUAGAAAACACAAACUGAGGUUUUCAAUGUGCUGGGACCGGUCCCCUGAGAUGAGAGACCGGUUCCCGAGAGUUCUCUCUGCGUGAAAGACUAAUGCAACCGGUCUCCUGAUCUGAGGGACCGGUCUCCUGGUCGGUGCAACCGAUCUCUGGCAUG
This 780-nucleotide long non-coding RNA is filed under the name Ananas comosus (pineapple). RNAcentral's name for it is "long non-coding RNA (ACOM_LNC031464)". The record is from RNAcentral. Lineage: Eukaryota; Viridiplantae; Streptophyta; Magnoliopsida; Poales; Bromeliaceae.